RNAcentral lists this ribosomal RNA (440 nucleotides) under uncultured bacterium. RNAcentral's name for it is "partial 16S ribosomal RNA". It matches the Rfam family "Bacterial small subunit ribosomal RNA", at positions 338 to 795 of the family's 1533-position model. The record is from RNAcentral.
CCUACGGGCGGCUGCAGUGGGGAAUAUUGCACAAUGGGGGAAACCCUGAUGCAGCGACGCCGCGUGAGUGAAGAAGUAUUUCGGGAUGUAAAGCUCUAUCAGCAGGGAAGAAAAUGACGGUACCUGAUUAAGAAGCCCCGGCGAACUACGUGCCCGCAGCCGCGGUAAGACGUAGGGGGCAAGCGUUAUCCGGAUUUACUGGGUGUAACGGGAGCGUAGACGGCAGCACCAGUCUGGAGUGAAAUGCCGGGGCUUAACCCCGGAACUGCUUUGGAAACUGUGCAGCUAGCGUGCAGGAUAGGUAAGUGUAAUUCCUCGUGUAGCGGUGAAAUGCGUAGAUAUUAGGAGGAACACCAGUGGCGAAGGCGGCUUACUGGACUGUACCUGACGUUGAGGCUCGAACGCGUGGGGAGCAAACAGGAUUAGAUACCCUUGUAGUC